GUGGGGAAUUUUGGACAAUGGGCGCAAGCCUGAUCCAGCAAUGCCGCGUGCAGGAAGAAGGCCUUCGGGUUGUAAACUGCUUUUGUACGGAACGAAACGGUCCGGGUUAAUACCCUGGGCUAAUGACGGUACCGUAAGAAUAAGCACCGGCUAACUACGUGCUAGCAGCCGCGGUAAUACGUAGGGUGCAAGCGUUAAUCGGAAUUACUGGGCGUAAAGCGUGCGCAGGCGGUUUUGUAAGACAGGCGUGAAAUCCCCGGGCUCAACCUGGGAAUUGCGCUUGUGACUGCAAGGCUGGAGUGCGGCAGAGGGGGAUGGAAUUCCGCGUGUAGCAGUGAAAUGCGUAGAUAUGCGGAGGAACACCGAUGGCGAAGGCAAUCCCCUGGGCCUGCACUGACGCUCAUGUACGAAAGCGUGGGGAGCAAACAGGAUUAGAUACCCUUGUAGUCC
Molecule: ribosomal RNA, 450 nt
Filed under: uncultured bacterium
Lineage: Bacteria
Description: partial 16S ribosomal RNA
Rfam family: Bacterial small subunit ribosomal RNA
Source: RNAcentral